AUGCUGGCUGCUGAAUGGUGCUGGCCAUCAUCAGCUUUUGUUUACUUCAUCCUCCGUGUGAAGAUAGCAGCUGUUUCUUUCAGUAAAAAAGAAGUAAAAGAAUGUAGCGACCUACCUCACAUUUCCCCCCUCCUCCUCCAAAUGUUUGUGGAGCCCAACAGCUGUCUUUGCAAAUCCUGCCACUCAGGAUUGCAAUGGCUGUACAUAAUCAAGCAUGGAGUGCUGAAGCUGAGAUUGUUGGCUGGCUCCAGGAGGCAGAGCAACAAACUGAUCCCAGCAUGUGUCUUGGUAUCUCACCCACAAGGAUUCAUGAAUGAGAUCUUCAGGUCCAGGACCCAUACUCACUGCGCAGAGAGUCUGGUAGUUGGCGAGCAACUUGGAAGGAAGAAUUCAGCAACUCACAGAGGUUGUGAAGCCAGAGGUUGCAUUUCAUGGCAUAGUGGCUGGGGUAUUUGAUUCUCUUUCUGUAGUGGAAAUUCCCACCAAGCCUGUGGUGACCAAAAGGGAAGAGAAAGUUACUUACAUGUCUGGGCCCACUGGGCCAUCUCCUUUGACCCCUGAUAUGUGCACAAGUACUCAGGUACCACGAGAGUUCCAGCUCUCCAGCAGAAAGCUGGGCAUCGUUAAGCGUUACCCAAGAUCCAGAGAUAAUUUUCUUCCUUGCAUCCUCCAUGUUUCCCUUCACACCAUUUGUCAAGAUUCAGAUGCCAUCGUUACCUGGAUGCAGACCUGUUUCUUGGGCAUAGAGGAGAGCCACAGCACAGGCAACACCGGGUGAGAAUCACCUUUGGAACACCACGCGGUAAAGGAAUUCAUGUCGCUCAACACAGACCGCUUAAUUCACCUGCAAGGACAACAGAACCUUGGAUUUUGCCCUACUUUAAGAGGAGGUCUCUCUGUGUAUUUGUGUGUGUACAUGCCUGUGUGUGCAUGUUGGUUAUGCUGCUGAAAAAGAAGAAAGUUCGUUGCCGGAAACUGUCCAGAGUUACAGGAAUUCAUGUCACUUAACAUUUUGCCCUACUUAAGAGAAGGGAGGGGUGUGUGUGUGUGUGUGUGUGAGUGAGUGUGUGAAUGCAUGCCUGUGUGUUCAUGUGUGUUAUGCUGGUGAAAAAGAAGAAAACUCAUUGCCAGAAACUGUCCAGGAAUCUUCACCAGCAUAAAACUAAAACCUUGGUGGAAACGGCUCACAGGCAGUCCAGACAAAGUGCUGGUGUCGGAUCUCUUCUGAGUGAGCAGAGAAAGAGACGUGUGGGGCUGUGACGUCUGAGACAGAGGGAGGAGUCAGGCCCAGGGGAGAGGAAGAGAAGGGAGGUGGAUGGCUGUGCGGCUUUAUCAGGGGUUUCCAUCCACAGCCAAAACGGACCAAGAAGAGAAGAGAAAAGGAGACCGAAACCUUUGAGUCCUGCUCAGUCGUGACUGAAUGUUUUAUAAAAGCACAUCUCUCUUGUUUACAAGG
This 1456-nucleotide long non-coding RNA is filed under the name Sus scrofa (pig). Its description in RNAcentral is "lncRNA (ENSSSCG00015055466.1)". The record is from RNAcentral. Lineage: Eukaryota; Metazoa; Chordata; Mammalia; Artiodactyla; Suidae.